GGAAGCAGCUUCUGUGAGGGAGGGAGGCCAGGGCUGCCGCGAGCCGUGUGCCUGCUGAGAGCCGCGGGCCUUGAGGCCAAGCAGGGUGCUCCUUGGAGGUCGCGGCCUGAGCCCGCACCUCCUCUCACAGGCUGCACCAGGGGCCCCCUUUCGCUCUCAAAGACACGAAAACCAUUUGCGUUUCUCAGAGAAAACAUAAUCCCCGAUGAGGCCGCAGCCCGUGUCAAUCUGCUGUUACCGGGUCUCCGUGGGGAACCAGCCUCACUCCGGUCCCUGUAUCCCGGGGCUGGAGGCCAGAGUCACUUGGGUCCGUGGGUCCUGGAGGGCCUGAGAGAGCGACCUCCCGUCACACCCAGACCGGGGAGCUCAGAGCCACGCCAGCGCGUGGCCCUGUGGUUCCCGCCCGUGGGGAGCCCCGGCGGCUCCAUCCCGUCAGUGGGCUUUGAGGCCCGCGCAGCUCGCCCUCGGCCUCCUCCGGCCUGGCCCUCUUCGGGCCUCCUCCUGUUCCGCACGGACCUCGUACCUCACGGUCACAGACAGACCAGGGUGUCACCAGCUGCCGCCUGGUUGAGCCCAGGGCGCGAGGCAGGUGGAGGUGGAGGCCUCCGCCCUCGCGGUCUGCGCGAGAGGCAUUUUAGGCAGCAGCUGUUUUGUUUUCCGCACGUGGGGAAAUAAGAGCUUGAAUCCGUUUCCGAAGCAUCUUGAUUCGCUCCCUCUAAACCACGACACAGUUUUCAAAGGGUCGCGCGCAGCAGCGGAACCUCUGUUGGGACGGGAUGCGCCCUGGAGGUGGAGCGCUGGGCGGCGCCGCGGGAUAGUCACCAGCCUGCAGGACCGGUCCCCGAGGAUCAGGCCGGCAGCCGAGGAGCCCCAUUCUGCGGCGGGCUCCCCGCACCCCCUACUAAUUAACCAUCCCGAAGUGCCCGCGGCCUGAAAGCUCCGCCAGGCCACAGCCUCCAGGCAGCACGUGGGCGCGCUCCCAGACACCCCCGCCCCGUCCCCCGCCGCCUCAGCGCCAGACACCCACCGGCUGCCUCUUCCUGGUUUUUGUGGAAGCCUUACUACCGACGACAAAUUUAACCCAUAACCUUGAAUCACGUCUGCAUUAAUUUCCUUAGAAAUGUGUUUCCCACAAAGUAAAAAUGUGUAGAAUAAGGCGGUUCGGGACCGUCUUGUGUCUGGACGAGGUUAACAGCUGACCUCGCCCAAGAUCGGAACUGCCGGUGCCCGCGGCACCCACAGGUGACCGUGUCACACUUGCUUGGAAAGCACGGGCCCCGCUACGCAUCGCUUUUCCUGCCACGAGUUCAAGACUGCGCAACAGCUUCACGGCAGCCUGGGCGACGGCCUCCCGGUGUCACUCCGGGGCCAUGGCUCGGCCGUGCAGGCAGCAGCAGGGCUGUGGGCUCAAGGACAAAGACCGAGGAAGGAAAGACAGGAGGUCCCUGAAGUGAAGCACAGAAGCCAUAACAGAGAACCCACGGGAGCCGGAAACGUGGAAGCUGGAGCAGGGAGGACGCGGGACCAGCACCAAUCAGAACCACUUCCUCAAGCUUGCCAAGGUCAUACGGGGCAACCACUACUCUCCUGACUUUACAAGGCUACUGGAAGCGCCAGCUGCUCAGACAACAGCCUCUGGAAUUACCAAAGACCCCCAGAACAAAAACCGAUCUACGACUAACCAGGUAACUACUUCAACAUCCUGUUGGCUCUAGCAUGGCUUCAAGCAGAAUUUUAAAAUAUUUUGACCAGAUUUCUGAGUUCUUUGCUAGAGGGUUUGUUUAGAUUACCUAGUCCUCCAUUCUGAUCAGUAGACUAAUCCUUCAUGGAUGGUGUGGCCCAGCUUCUAAAUCACCUCAUUCCC
RNAcentral lists this long non-coding RNA (1864 nucleotides) under Canis lupus familiaris (dog). RNAcentral describes it as "lncRNA (ENSCAFG00845016940.1)". Lineage: Eukaryota; Metazoa; Chordata; Mammalia; Carnivora; Canidae. The record is from RNAcentral.